CCCUUAGAUGUUCUGGGCCGCACGCGUGCUACACUGAGUAAUUCAAUGGGUAAGGGAACGCUAGAGCAUUACCUAAUCUUGAAAUUUGCUCGUGAUGGGGAUCGACGGUUGCAAUUUUCCGUCGUGAACGAGGAAUACCUUGUAGGCGCAUGUCAUCAUCAUGCGCCGAAUACGUCCCUGCCCUUUGUACACACCGCCCGUCGCUCCUACCGAUUGAGUGAUCCGGGGAGGCUCUGGGACCUGGACGGAAAGAGCGUUUCGCUUGUUCUGUUUGGGAAACUUGGUCGAACCUUAUCAUUUAGAGGAAGGAGAAGUCGUAACA
This 322-nucleotide ribosomal RNA is filed under the name uncultured eukaryote. Its description in RNAcentral is "partial 18S ribosomal RNA". It matches the Rfam family "Eukaryotic small subunit ribosomal RNA", at positions 1470 to 1796 of the family's 1831-position model. The record is from RNAcentral.